Molecule: long non-coding RNA, 295 nt
Filed under: Lathyrus oleraceus (garden pea)
Lineage: Eukaryota; Viridiplantae; Streptophyta; Magnoliopsida; Fabales; Fabaceae
Description: Pisum sativum (pea) long non-coding RNA (PSAT_LNC037581)
Source: RNAcentral
UGGUUCAGUUGACCAAGGCGUAUGGUGGGAGCGCGCCUCUGGAGCGUGUGAUCUGCCAGCUCAAUUAAUAAGCUCAGAUCUAAUGCUCCUGGUUUUUUGCAUUUUUUUAUUUUCUGAUUUUAUUUUCUUUAAUUCCCUUUUAUUUCAAAAAUUCAUAUCUCUCUCAUUUUUAAUCCAAAAAUUUUGUGACCAAUUGCAUUAGUCUCCAAAUAAAUUCUAGUUUCUAUUUCUGAUUUUUAAUAUUUUUUAUUUUGUCAUUUGAUAUUUUUUGUGAAUUUUCUCUUUUCUGGUUAUU